GAAAUAUUGAGUUACUAGCUUGCAAUGCAAAUGUGUUGGUUACUCUUGGGGGGGUCAAAGGGUGGAGAGAAUUUGGUGCACGUAUAGUCCUGGAAAUUGCUGGUCACAAUGAAUGGAAAAUUGCUGUCAAAUUUUCUGGGGCUACCAAGUAUUCAUAUAAAGUUCAUAAUGUUUUGCAGCCUGGCUCUACCAAUCGCUUUACGCAUGCCAUGAUGUGGAAAGGGGGGAAGGAUUGGGUCCUGGAGUUCCCUGACAGAAGCCAGUGGAUGUUGUUCAAGGAGUUGCAUGAAGAGUGUUAUAACAGGAAUAUACGUGCUGCCUCAG
RNAcentral lists this unclassified non-coding RNA (324 nucleotides) under Hevea brasiliensis (rubber tree). Lineage: Eukaryota; Viridiplantae; Streptophyta; Magnoliopsida; Malpighiales; Euphorbiaceae. The record is from RNAcentral.